UACGGAGGGUGCAAACGUUGCUCGGAAUCAUUGGGCGUAAAGAGCUCGUAGGCGGCUUGUCGCGUCGGAUGUGAAAGCCCGGGGCUUAACUCCGGGUCUGCAUUCGAUACGGGCAGGCUAGAGUUCGGUAGGGGAGAUCGGAAUUCCUGGUGUAGCGGUGAAAUGCGCAGAUAUCAGGAGGAACACCGGUGGCGAAGGCGGUUCUCUGGGCCUGUACUGACGCUGAGGAGCGAAAGCGUGGGGAGCGAACAGG
Molecule: ribosomal RNA, 253 nt
Filed under: uncultured bacterium
Lineage: Bacteria
Description: partial 16S ribosomal RNA
Rfam family: Bacterial small subunit ribosomal RNA
Source: RNAcentral